ACUAAUCAGUAGACUUUGACAAUGAUCGCCAUAGCCAGUAGUGUUAACCCUGGAAGUUUGCUUAAUUUGCUCAUAUACGCAGAAUUAAUACUGAAUAUAACCUUGUUAACAUUAGUCUGAUGUAAUAGCUGAUACUUCUUGUUAACAUUAGUCUGUUGUAAUAGCUGAUACUUUCUAAUCUUUUCAUAUAUGCACUAUCUUUGUUUAUAUUCUUCAUCAAGUUCCUAAUGUAGCUCCUUCCUCGUGUGUUGUUUCUUGAUGGUCUCAAGAUACCCUUGUGAGCCAGCAAAGGUUCUCACUU
RNAcentral lists this long non-coding RNA (301 nucleotides) under Nicotiana benthamiana. RNAcentral's name for it is "long non-coding RNA (NBEN_LNC018398)". The record is from RNAcentral. Lineage: Eukaryota; Viridiplantae; Streptophyta; Magnoliopsida; Solanales; Solanaceae.